GACGAACGCUGGCGGCGUGCUUAACACAUGCCAGUCGAACGGAAAGGCCCUGCUUUUGUGGGGUGCUCGAGUGGCGAACGGGUGAGUAACACGUGAGUAACCUGCCCUUGACUUUGGGAUAACUUCAGGAAACUGGGGCUAAUACCGGAUAGGAGCUCCUGCUGCAUGGUGGGGGUUGGAAAGUUUCGGCGGUUGGGGAUGGACUCGCGGCUUAUCAGCUUGUUGGUGGGGUAGUGGCUUACCAAGGCUUUGACGGGUAGCCGGCAUGAGAGGUUGACCGGCCACAUUGGGACUGAGAUACGGCCCAGACUCCUACGGGAGGCAGCAGUGGGGAAUAUUGCCCAAUGGGCGGAAGCCUGAUGCAGCAACGCCGCGUGCGGGAUGACGGCCUUCGGGUUGUAAACCGCUUUCGCCUGUGACGAAGCGUGAGUGACGGUAAUGGGUGAAGAAGCACCGGCUAACUACGUG
Molecule: ribosomal RNA, 468 nt
Filed under: uncultured bacterium
Lineage: Bacteria
Description: partial 16S ribosomal RNA
Rfam family: Bacterial small subunit ribosomal RNA
Source: RNAcentral